AAUAAGAUAAAUUACAUACAAUCUAAAUAACAAAUUUAAACUUUUUAGCUUUACUUUCCAUGAUCUAAACACAUUUAUUUCACAUAUGAUGGAUGCUGGUUGAUUUUAAGAUCUUUGUCACUUCGAACAAGUAUCACUAUGUCAUGAAGAAAUCUCUAAUGAACAGUUAGAACCAGCUCAUUUCCAGGUCUUCUAGUUUCCCAAUCCUAGGUUCAAUCAAACACAGGUCCCAAACUUCCUAGAAAUCCAUUGGGGUUUUCAAAUGUAGUAUUUAUUUUUUCUAGACAUCACAAUAUCCAACUUCAGGAUUUCAAAAAAACCCAAUUUAUGUGAACUUCCUCCCAAUUAUCAAACAGGCCCUAGGAGUCUAUAGCCUAGAUUAAGCCCCAUAAAUCAAUUUGACCAACUUAAAUUAACCUAGCCCCAUGAGACCCUCCAAAGUAUAAAAAUAAAAAUUUAUUUAAGUGGGUCUUAAAACCCUUAUGAAGGCUCCAUCUUUUAAACAACUCUUUAUCCCAUAUGAUACCUCCUUCAACACAACCACAACUCCCUCAUUAAAAUCCUC
RNAcentral lists this long non-coding RNA (565 nucleotides) under Amborella trichopoda. Its description in RNAcentral is "long non-coding RNA (ATRI_LNC002349)". The record is from RNAcentral. Lineage: Eukaryota; Viridiplantae; Streptophyta; Magnoliopsida; Amborellales; Amborellaceae.